Molecule: ribosomal RNA, 482 nt
Filed under: uncultured bacterium
Lineage: Bacteria
Description: partial 16S ribosomal RNA
Rfam family: Bacterial small subunit ribosomal RNA
Source: RNAcentral
AUUGAACGCUGGCGGCAUGCCUUACACAUGCAAGUCGAACGGUAACAGGUCUUCGGAUGCUGACGAGUGGCGAACGGGUGAGUAAUACAUCGGAACGUGCCCAGACGUGGGGGAUAACGAGGCGAAAGCUUUGCUAAUACCGCAUACGAUCUAAGGAUGAAAGCAGGGGACCGCAAGGCCUUGCGCGUUUGGAGCGGCCGAUGGCAGAUUAGGUAGUUGGUGGGAUAAAAGCUUACCAAGCCGACGAUCUGUAGCUGGUCUGAGAGGACGACCAGCCACACUGGGACUGAGACACGGCCCAGACUCCUACGGGAGGCAGCAGUGGGGAAUUUUGGACAAUGGGCGAAAGCCUGAUCCAGCAAUGCCGCGUGCAGGAUGAAGGCCUUCGGGUUGUAAACUGCUUUUGUACGGAACGAAAAAGCUCUGGCUAAUACCUGGGGCACAUGACGGUACCGUAAGAAUAAGCACCGGCUAACUACGUG